AGAAAGACGAAUCUUUGUGGGCGGACGAUGCCCUUAUGGCUUUGGCUGCAUCUACUUCUACAUCCACCAAAUCAUCUGCAUCUACAUCAGCUGAUGAUGAUGAAGAUGAUGUUAAUAUUCCCUGCUGUUGCUGCUGUUGCCUCCUCCUGUAAGCCAUUUCUUUUUUCCUAACUCCUAUUCUAAUUUGUUUGCACAAUUCAUCAACUCGAUCUUAGUCUUGCUCUACUUUUGUUGUUGUCGUAUUUGUUGUUCCUUGCUGCUUCAAUCUCCCUUUCGAAUUUGGAUUAAACCUGUCGUCUCAUCUCUCACUCACUCUGCUAUCUGUAUUUUGAAUCGUGUAUUGGAUUAUGUAGGUUCUGUUGUGGCCACUCAGCCGUCGGCGACGUCAACGCUCUACGCCCACCAUUUUUCAUCUAAUAAAAUUCUACAGUCCACACCCAGUCCUAUUCUGCUUUACUUGAUUUCAACUGCAGCUGAUGCAGCUUGCAACAGCCCAU
RNAcentral lists this long non-coding RNA (497 nucleotides) under Gossypium barbadense (sea-island cotton). RNAcentral describes it as "long non-coding RNA (GBAR_LNC022802)". The record is from RNAcentral. Lineage: Eukaryota; Viridiplantae; Streptophyta; Magnoliopsida; Malvales; Malvaceae.